This 301-nucleotide ribosomal RNA is filed under the name uncultured bacterium. RNAcentral describes it as "partial 16S ribosomal RNA". It matches the Rfam family "Bacterial small subunit ribosomal RNA", at positions 509 to 807 of the family's 1533-position model. The record is from RNAcentral.
CAGCCGCCACGGUAAUACAGAGGGUGCGAGCGUUAAUCGGAUUUACUGGGCGUAAAGCGUGCGUAGGCGGCUUCUUAAGUCGGAUGUAAAAUCCCUGAGCUUAACUUAGGAAUUGCAUUCGAUACUGGGAAGCUAGAGUAUGGGAGAGGAUGGUAGAAUUCCAGGUGUAGCGGUGAAAUGCGUAGAGAUCUGGAGGAAUACCGAUGGCGAAGGCAGCCAUCUGGCCUAAUACUGACGCUGAGGUACGAAAGCAUGGGGAGCAAACAGGAUUAGAUACCCCCGUAGUCCCUGUCUCUUAUAC